AGCGUAGGUGGUUCGGUAAGUCAGAUGUGAAAGCCCGGGGCUCAACCCCGGGACUGCAUUUGAAACUAUCGUACUAGAGUGCAGGAGAGGUAAGUGGAAUUCCUAGUGUAGCGGUGAAAUGCGUAGAUAUUAGGAGGAACACCAGUGGCGAAGGCGGCUUACUGGACUGUAACUGACACUGAGGCUCGAAAGCGUGGGGAGCAAACAG
Molecule: ribosomal RNA, 208 nt
Filed under: uncultured Eubacteriales bacterium
Lineage: Bacteria; Bacillati; Bacillota; Clostridia; Eubacteriales
Description: uncultured Clostridiales bacterium partial 16S ribosomal RNA
Rfam family: Bacterial small subunit ribosomal RNA
Source: RNAcentral